CCAGUCGGUCAGACAGCCGCUGCCGCAAGUGCUGAAAGGCCGCGGGGGAGGAAAGUCCGGGCUCCAUGGAAACACGGUGCCGGGUAACACCCGGCGAGGGCGACCUUAGGGAAAGUGCCACAGAAAGCAAACCGCCCCGAUCCGGUAGCAAUAUCGACUGCGGGGUAAGGGUGAAAGGGUGGGGUAAGAGCCCACCGCGCGGGCGGCAACGAACGCGGCAUGGUAAACCCCACCGGGAGCAAAACCGAAUAGGGAUAACGCGGGCUUUGCCCAGGCCGGUUUCCAGGCCAGUUGUCCGGGUAGGUUGCGAGAGGCGCUUGGCAAUAAGCGUCACAGAUGAAUGGCUGUCACGUUCGCAGGCUUGCCUGCGGGCCAUACAGAACCCGGCUUACAGGCCGACUGGCUAU
Molecule: RNase P RNA, 407 nt
Filed under: Roseibium sp. TrichSKD4
Lineage: Bacteria; Pseudomonadati; Pseudomonadota; Alphaproteobacteria; Hyphomicrobiales; Stappiaceae
Description: Bacterial RNase P class A
Rfam family: Bacterial RNase P class A
About the family: Ribonuclease P (RNase P) is a ubiquitous endoribonuclease, found in archaea, bacteria and eukarya as well as chloroplasts and mitochondria. Its best characterised activity is the generation of mature 5'-ends of tRNAs by cleaving the 5'-leader elements of precursor-tRNAs.
Source: Rfam by way of RNAcentral